RNAcentral lists this ribosomal RNA (244 nucleotides) under uncultured bacterium. Its description in RNAcentral is "partial 16S ribosomal RNA". It matches the Rfam family "Bacterial small subunit ribosomal RNA", at positions 15 to 254 of the family's 1533-position model. The record is from RNAcentral.
AAUCCUGGCUCAGGACGAACGCUGGCGGCGCGCCUAACACAUGCAAGUCGAACGAGAGAGAAGGAGCUUGCUUCUUCGAUCGAGUGGCGAACGGGUGAGUAACGCGUGAGGAACCUGCCUCAAAGAGGGGGACAAUAGUUGGAAACGACUGCUAAUACCGCAUAAGCCCACGGGUCGGCAUCGACCUGAGGGAAAAGGAGCAAUCCGCUUUGAGAUGGCCUCGCGUCCGAUUAGCUAGUUGGUG